This is a non-coding RNA of Lolium perenne, 542 nucleotides long. The record is from RefSeq and is a predicted model, not a curated record. NCBI's taxonomy places the organism in Eukaryota, Viridiplantae, Streptophyta, Magnoliopsida, Poales, Poaceae.
AACGAGGCGGAUCAUAUUGAGUGGUGUAAGAUCGAUGAUUCUAUGAGAAAUCCUCUGGCUGGCUUCUGAAGUGAGCGUGUGAAGUGAGCACCAGAACAUGGGACUUCUGGAUUGUCCCUAAAUCCUGGGCAGCAACUCUACAGGCAGAACUGGCCAUCGAUUUUUACUGGCCAUCGAUGGCCCAAAGAAUUUCUUCUGAAUUGGUUAAAGUUCAGGUUGAGCUGGUUGAGCCUCCAAAAUAUGCAGUCGCGGGGGAGAAGCUGACCUUUGCUGGGUACUCCGGAUGAGCGUCGUAAGAUGAUGAGGAAGCAAUCCUAGACAAAAAAAAAACCAUGUUGCACUAGGCAGGUGAUGCCGUGUUACAAACAGAAUCUAAGUUUGCUUGCCACUAUGAACACCGGAACUCUGUUAGGUUCUUUGACCGUGCAAUGGUGCUUCUUUGGAAACUCCAUAUUAGGCAAUGUCACUGGCAUCUUAUCUGAUUGCUGCAAUAUGCCUUUCUUUUUAUAGAGUGACAUGUUGUUUCUACGAAAAAUCUGAAC